This is a non-coding RNA of Jatropha curcas, 1071 nucleotides long. The record is from RefSeq and is a predicted model, not a curated record. Lineage: Eukaryota; Viridiplantae; Streptophyta; Magnoliopsida; Malpighiales; Euphorbiaceae.
UUGUGCUAAACCAUAAUUCACUAAUCUUGCAUUCAUGUCUUCAUCAAGUAACAAAUUACUUCCCAACCUUCAUGAAAAUACAAUGUCUCAUUAGCCACAUCUUUUCAAAUCUUGAAUCUUUCUCCCCAACUUGAAAAGUAAUACUCUCAUUAGAACUAAAAGUUAUCUUGUCCAAGCUUCUAUUCUCCAUAUAUAUAUGAUCAUGAGAUAAAACUAAACUUUCUUGGUCAUGAUUACCCCAACCUCAUAAUUCUAUGCUCUAGUCUUUCUAAGCUUGAAAUUUCAGCCAAGAAUUCUCUUAUACAUACCCUUUUCAGUUUGAUGAGAAAUCAUCUUAACAGCAACUUCUAUUCCUCCUAAUAUAUCCUUUUAUAUAGAGCUCUCCAUUUCCUCCAAAUCCAAGCUCAUUUUCUUCUGCAAAACCCUUUGUUUGCAUAUUUUUUUUAUAAUAAAUUCUCUGAGGCAAAUCUCCAAUUCACAAUAUGCCAAAACCUCAUAUAUUACAGUGCCUAACCUAAUAAUCAUCACCCCAGCAACAUUAACCAAGAAUCCUUUUGAUUUAUAUAUUGAUUCCUUUGAAGACAAAAAAGAAGGCAAGUCUCUUGUAAUCAAAGCAUCAGCAACUGAAAAAUGUGUUUUACUGAAACUUCAUACCAAAAUCUCCGAGUUUGAAUCCAUGUUCGAGGGAGACAGAAACUCAUUGUUGUCUGUUAUUAUGUAAGGUUUUGGAUGGUAAGCAUCGACGCGGGGAUAGCUCAGUUGGGAGAGCGUCAGACUGAAGAUCUGAAGGUCGCGUGUUCGAUCAACGCUCACCGCAUAUUUUGGUUUUUUUGCCUUCCUCUAAUAAAUGAACUAGAAAACUAUGGGCUUGUGUAAUCCAGCAAGAGCUCUAACCGAAGUAUAAGGCUUCAUUUAACUGCGCUUUUAAGCCCAUUAAAACUUUUAGAGGGUUGAAAGUUUUCAACCAUGUUAAACUUUUAAGCCCAUUAAGAUCUUUAGUUUUUCACUGAUUAUCUUAUUCCACGAAGCAUCUUGUGUGAUGUAAAAAGCGACUUUAAUUAUGUUUGGCAA